UACGAAGGGGGCUAGCGUUGUUCGGAAUUACUGGGCGUAAAGCGCACGUAGGCGGAUACUUAAGUCAGGGGUGAAAUCCCGGGGCUCAACCCCGGAACUGCCUUUGAUACUGAAGAUCUUGAGUUCGGGAGAGGUGAGUGGAACUGCGAGUGUAGAGGUGAAAUUCGUAGAUAUUCGCAAGAACACCAGUGGCGAAGGCGGCUCACUGGCCCGAUACUGACGCUGAGGCACGAAAGCGUGGGGAGCAAACAGG
RNAcentral lists this ribosomal RNA (253 nucleotides) under uncultured bacterium. RNAcentral describes it as "partial 16S ribosomal RNA". It matches the Rfam family "Bacterial small subunit ribosomal RNA", at positions 524 to 776 of the family's 1533-position model. The record is from RNAcentral.